GCGGCGGACGGGUGAGUAACGCGUGGGUAACCUGCCCUGUACACACGGAUAACAUACCGAAAGGUAUGCUAAUACGAGAUAAUAUACUUUUAUCGCAUGGUAGAAGUAUCAAAGCUUUUGCGGUACAGGAUGGACCCGCGUCUGAUUAGCUAGUUGGUAAGGUAACGGCUUACCAAGGCGACGAUCAGUAGCCGACCUGAGAGGGUGAUCGGCCACAUUGGAACUGAGACACGGUCCAAACUCCUACGGGAGGCAGCAGUGGGGAAUAUUGCACAAUGGGCGAAAGCCUGAUGCAGCAACGCCGCGUGAGCGAUGAAGGCCUUCGGGUCGUAAAGCUCUGUCCUCAAGGAAGAUAAUGACGGUAUUUGAGGAGGAAGCCCCGGCUAACUACGUGCCAGCAGCCGCGGUAAUACGUAGGGGGCUAGCGUUAUCCGGAAUUACUGGGCGUAAAGGGUGCGUAGGUGGUUUCUUAAGUCAGAGGUGAAAGGCUACGGCUCAACCGUAGUAAGCCUUUGAAACUGGGGAACUUGAGUGCAGGAGAGGAGAGUGGAAUUCCUAGUGUAGCGGUGAAAUGCGUAGAUAUUAGGAGGAACACCAGUUGCGAAGGCGGCUCUCUGGACUGUAACUGACACUGAGGCACGAAAGCGUGGGGAGCAAACAGGAUUAGAUACCCUGGUAGUCCACGCCGUAAACGAUGAGUACUAGCUGU
This 709-nucleotide ribosomal RNA is filed under the name uncultured bacterium. Its description in RNAcentral is "bacterial SSU rRNA". It matches the Rfam family "Bacterial small subunit ribosomal RNA", at positions 95 to 823 of the family's 1533-position model. The record is from RNAcentral.